Brassica rapa (field mustard) is the source of this 371-nucleotide long non-coding RNA. RefSeq lists it as uncharacterized. NCBI's taxonomy places the organism in Eukaryota, Viridiplantae, Streptophyta, Magnoliopsida, Brassicales, Brassicaceae. The record is from RefSeq and is a predicted model, not a curated record.
CUCGUAAUCGAACCCUUCAGGAACAGCAAUGGUCUUGGAAGGAUCUCCGUCCUGGACGAUGAUGAGAUGGUAAGGCUGGAGAAAAGGUCUCCACAUCUCGAGGAAAUCGAGGUUGCGGAUGGUGGGGAUCACGAUGUCGAGCUCAUCCUUCAGCAACGCAGUGUGGUUCAACGGGAUUCCAACGGUAUUCGCCGGUUCAACCAUGAUUCGAUUGAUUGAGAAUUGGAGAAGAGAGAGAGAGAGAGAGAGAGAGAGAGAGAGAGAGAGAGACGGAAAAGGAAAGAAACCCUAAUCUAUUAUUUUAUCUUUUCCGGUUAUGUUUAACCGCGAUUGGACCGGGUUCGCAAAAAUUAAACGGUUUAUCCAAAAAA